This 583-nucleotide ribosomal RNA is filed under the name Leptogium hibernicum. RNAcentral describes it as "LSU rRNA". It matches the Rfam family "Eukaryotic large subunit ribosomal RNA", at positions 72 to 661 of the family's 3401-position model. Lineage: Eukaryota; Fungi; Ascomycota; Lecanoromycetes; Peltigerales; Collemataceae. The record is from RNAcentral.
GGAUUGCCUCAGUAACGGCGAGUGAAGCGGCAGCAGCUCAAAUUUGAAAUCCGGCCCCCUCGGGGCCCGAGUUGUAAUUUGGAGAGGGUGCUUCGGGGCGCGCCGCCGGUCCGAGUGCCUUGGAACAGGCCGCCGUGGAGGGUGAGAGCCCCGUACGCGGCCGGCGGACCGUCCCCGCGCGAAGCCCUUUCGACGAGUCGAGUUGUUUGGGAAUGCAGCUCCAAGCGGGUGGUAAAUUCCAUCUAAAGCUAAAUACAGGCCGGAGACCGAUAGCGCACAAGUAGAGUGAUCGAAAGAUGAAAAGCACCUUGAAAAGGGGGUCAAACAGCACGUGAAAUUGCUGAGAGGGAAGCGCUGGCCCCCAGACCUGCUUCGCGGGCGAUCCCCGGCGGCCUCCGCGCCGCGGGGGCUCCACGCCCGCGUUCAGGCCAGCACGGGUCCGGGCGGCGGGACAAAGCGCCCGGGAAUGUAACUCCCUUUGGGGAGCCUUAUAGCCCGGGUGGUCAUGCCGCCCGCCCGGACCGAGGACCGCGCUGCGGCGAGGGUGCUGGCGUAAUGGGGGUCAGCGACCCGUCUUGAAACA